CCUACGGUGGGCAGCAGUGAGGAAUAUUGGUCAAUGGGCGGGAGCCUGAACCAGCCAAGCCGCGUGAAGGAAGACGGUUUUCGGAUUGUAAACUUCUGUUCUUAGUGAAGAAUAAUGACGGUAGCUAAGGAGCAAGCCACGGCUAACUACGUGCCAGCAGCCGCGGUAAUACGUAGGUGGCAAGCGUUGUCCGGAAUUACUGGGUGUAAAGGGAGCGCAGGCGGGAAGCCAAGUCAGCUGUGAAAACUACGGGCUUAACUUGUAGACUGCAGUUGAAACUGGUUUUCUUGAGGGAAGUAGAGGUUGGCGGAAUUCCGAGUGUAGCGGUGAAAUGCGUAGAUAUUCGGAGGAACACCGGUGGCGAAGGCAGCUCACUGGACUGCAACUGACACUGAGGCUCGAAAGUGUGGGUAUCAAACAGGAUUAGAUACCCCUGUAGUC
This 441-nucleotide ribosomal RNA is filed under the name uncultured bacterium. RNAcentral describes it as "partial 16S ribosomal RNA". It matches the Rfam family "Bacterial small subunit ribosomal RNA", at positions 338 to 795 of the family's 1533-position model. The record is from RNAcentral.